RNAcentral lists this ribosomal RNA (425 nucleotides) under uncultured bacterium. RNAcentral's name for it is "bacterial SSU rRNA". It matches the Rfam family "Bacterial small subunit ribosomal RNA", at positions 362 to 779 of the family's 1533-position model. The record is from RNAcentral.
UAUUGGACAAUGGGGGAAACCCUGAUCCAGCCAUGCCGCGUGUGUGAAGAAGGCCUUUUGGUUGUAAAGCACUUUAAGCAGUGAAGAAGACUCCGUGGUUAAUACCCACGGACGAUGACAUUAGCUGCAGAAUAAGCACCGGCUAACUCUGUGCCAGCAGCCGCGGUAAUACAGAGGGUGCAAGCGUUAAUCGGAAUUACUGGGCGUAAAGGGAGCGUAGGUGGCUCUAUAAGUCAGAUGUGAAAUCCCCGGGCUUAACCUGGGAACUGCAUCUGAAACUGUAGAGCUAGAGUAUGUGAGAGGAAGGUAGAAUUCCAGGUGUAGCGGUGAAAUGCGUAGAGAUCUGGAGGAAUACCGAUGGCGAAGGCAGCCUUCUGGCAUAAUACUGACACUGAGGCUCGAAAGCGUGGGUAGCAAACAGGAUU